This 229-nucleotide ribosomal RNA is filed under the name uncultured bacterium. RNAcentral's name for it is "partial 16S ribosomal RNA". It matches the Rfam family "Bacterial small subunit ribosomal RNA", at positions 568 to 796 of the family's 1533-position model. The record is from RNAcentral.
UGCGUAGGCGGAAUAAUAAGUCGGUGGUGAAAUCCUGUGGCUCAACCACAGAACUGCCAUUGAUACUGUUAUUCUUGAAUAUAGUUGAGGUAGGCGGAAUGUGUAAUGUAGCGGUGAAAUGCUUAGAUAUUACACAGAACACCGAUUGCGAAGGCAGCUUGCUAAACUAUUAUUGACGCUGAGGCACGAAAGCGUGGGGAGCGAACAGGAUUAGAUACCCUGGUAGUCC